CGUAGGGUGCGAGCGUUAAUCGGAAUUACUGGGCGUAAAGCGUGCGCAGGCGGUUAUAUAAGACAGAUGUGAAAUCCCCGGGCUCAACCUGGGAACUGCAUUUGUGACUGUAUAGCUAGAGCACGGCAGAGGGGGAUGGAAUUCCGCGUGUAGCAGUGAAAUGCGUAGAUAUGCGGAGGAACACCGAUGGCGAAGGCAAUCCCCUGGGCCUGUACUGACGCUCAUGCACGAAAGCGUGGGGAGCAAACAGGAUUAGAUACCCUGGUAGUCCACGCCCUAAACGAUGUCAACUGGUUGUUGGGUCUUCACUGACUCAGUAACGAAGCUAACGCGUGAAGUUGACCGCCUGGGGAGUACGGCCGCAAGGUUG
RNAcentral lists this ribosomal RNA (370 nucleotides) under uncultured organism. RNAcentral describes it as "bacterial SSU rRNA". It matches the Rfam family "Bacterial small subunit ribosomal RNA", at positions 526 to 896 of the family's 1533-position model. The record is from RNAcentral.